RNAcentral lists this ribosomal RNA (232 nucleotides) under uncultured bacterium. Its description in RNAcentral is "partial 16S ribosomal RNA". It matches the Rfam family "Bacterial small subunit ribosomal RNA", at positions 524 to 754 of the family's 1533-position model. The record is from RNAcentral.
UACGUAGGGUGCAGGCGUUAAUCGGAAUUACUGGGCGUAAAGCGUGCGUAGGCGGUUUGUUAAGACAGGUGUGAAAUCCCCGGGCUUAACCUGGGAACUGCGCUUGUUACUGGCAGACUGGAGUGUGGCAGAGGGGGGUGGAAUUCCAGGUGUAGCAGUGGAAAUGCGUAGAUAUCUGGAGGAACACCGAUGGCGAAGGCAGCCCCCUGGGCUAACACUGACGCUGAUGCAC